Molecule: ribosomal RNA, 459 nt
Filed under: uncultured bacterium
Lineage: Bacteria
Description: partial 16S ribosomal RNA
Rfam family: Bacterial small subunit ribosomal RNA
Source: RNAcentral
CCUACGGGUGGCAGCAGUGAGGAAUAUUGGUCAAUGGGCGGGAGCCUGAACCAGCCAAGUCGCGUGAGGGAUGAAGGUCCUACGUGUUGUAAACCUCUUUUGCCAGGGAACAAAGUCGGCCACGUGUGGCCUUAAGCGGGUACCUUGAGAACAAGCAUCGGCUAACUCCGUGCCAGCAGCCGCGGUAAUACGGAGGAUGCGAGCGUUAUCCGGAUUUAUUGGGUUUAAAGGGUGCGCAGGCGGCGUGUCAAGUCAGCGGUAAAAUGUCGGGGCUCAACCCCGGCCGGCCGUUGAAACUGGCGGGCUAGAGUUGGAGAGAAGUAUGCGGAAUUCGUGGUGUAGCGGUGAAAUGCAUAGAUAUCACGAAGAACCCCGAUUGCGAAGGCAGCAUACCGGCUCGACACUGACGCUGAGGCACGAAAGUGUGGGUAUCGAACAGGAUUAGAUACCCGGGUAGUC